This 484-nucleotide ribosomal RNA is filed under the name uncultured bacterium. RNAcentral's name for it is "partial 16S ribosomal RNA". It matches the Rfam family "Bacterial small subunit ribosomal RNA", at positions 30 to 507 of the family's 1533-position model. The record is from RNAcentral.
AUUGAACGCUGGCGGCAGGCCUAACACAUGCAAGUCGAGCGGAUGAAGGGAGCUUGCUCCUGGAUUCAGCGGCGGACGGGUGAGUAAUGCCUAGGAAUCUGCCUGGUAGUGGGGGAUAACGUCCGGAAACGGGCGCUAAUACCGCAUAAGUCCUGAGGGAGAAAGUGGGGGAUCUUCGGACCUUACGCUAUCAGAUGAGCCUAGGUCGGAUUAGCUAGUUGGUGGGGUAAAGGCCUACCAAGGCGACGAUCCGUAACUGGUCUGAGAGGAUGAUCAGUCACACUGGAACUGAGACACGGUCCAGACUCCUACGGGAGGCAGCAGUGGGGAAUAUUGGACAAUGGGCGCAAGCCUGAUCCAGCCAUGCCGCGUGUGUGAAGAAGGUCUUCGGAUUGUAAAGCACUUUAAGUUGGGAGGAAGGGCAGUAAGUUAAUACCUUGCUGUUUUGACGUUACUAACAGAAUAAGCACCGGCUAACUUCGUG